CAUUCACCGAGUUAUUACCAACAUCUGCUACCUCAGAGAUUCUGGACACUUCAGUGGGCUAUAGUAUCAGAACUUCUGGAAAUUCACUCAGAGGCGCAUUGGAUUAAUGACAGGUGCUGCAUUCCCUGGUAUUGUGGGCAUAGAAGAUGAGGAUCAGCACCUGUUUUUUUGACGUUUCUGGCCAGGCAUCAAGGCAGAUAUUCAGUGGUGGUGCAAUGUUCCUUGGUGCUGGAUGCUCAUGCCCAUCUGUGAGGAUGGCAUUGUUCCCAUCUAUGAGUUCAGAGUGCCUUUGUCUACAAUCAGCGAUUGGUUUAAUUGAGCAGCCAGUAUUGGAACGAAAAUGCUGUUACUUCCCCACCACCCUCUCAUGUGCCAGAAUGAAGCUGUGGCGACACCUUCCUCAUCCCUGCUGUCACAUAUAUCUGUGUAAGCCUGAACAGCAGAAUGGAAGAAAUCAGUCACCAUUCACAAUGUCUGCUGGCUGCCAAAGAGACGCAUUUCUACUGCAGCCGAAGAUUAUACUGAAAAUCAUUGACAGAACUGGCAUUGACAUAAGUGGGAGAGCUCUCCUGGCAAUCAUCUGUAAGUUCCUACAUGCUGAAAUUCCAUUUUUCCACAAUACAUUUAUUUUCAUUUUCAGCUGUAAUUCACAGGUUUCUUACCCCAAAAAGCCCUGUUAG
Taeniopygia guttata (zebra finch) is the source of this 680-nucleotide long non-coding RNA. The record is from Ensembl. Lineage: Eukaryota; Metazoa; Chordata; Aves; Passeriformes; Estrildidae.